GUGGUGGCUCAAUUGGUAGAGCAGCGGUCUCCAAAACCGCAGGUUGCAGGUUCGAGUCCUGUCCGCC
This 67-nucleotide transfer RNA is filed under the name Rothia mucilaginosa. It matches the Rfam family "tRNA". Rfam says of the family: Transfer RNA (tRNA) molecules are approximately 80 nucleotides in length. Their secondary structure includes four short double-helical elements and three loops (D, anti-codon, and T loops). Further hydrogen bonds mediate the characteristic L-shaped molecular structure. tRNAs have two regions of fundamental functional importance: the anti-codon, which is responsible for specific mRNA codon recognition, and the 3' end, to which the tRNAs corresponding amino acid is attached (by aminoacyl-tRNA synthetases). tRNAs cope with the degeneracy of the genetic code in two manners: having more than one tRNA (with a specific anti-codon) for a particular amino acid; and 'wobble' base-pairing, i.e. permitting non-standard base-pairing at the 3rd anti-codon position. The record is from RNAcentral. Lineage: Bacteria; Bacillati; Actinomycetota; Actinomycetes; Micrococcales; Micrococcaceae. RNAcentral also lists the same sequence under 4 other names.